GAUGAACGCUGGCGGAAUGCUUUACACAUGCAAGUCGAACGGUAGAGGGGGCAACCCCUCGAGAGUGGCGAACGGGUGAGUAAUAUAUCGGAACGUGCCCAGUCGUGGGGGAUAACGUAGCGAAAGUUACGCUAAUACCGCAUACGAUCUAAGGAUGAAAGCGGGGGAUCGCAAGACCUCGCGCGAUUGGAGCGGCCGAUAUCAGAUUAGGUAGUUGGUGGGGUAAAGGCUCACCAAGCCAACGAUCUGUAGCUGGUCUGAGAGGACGACCAGCCACACUGGAACUGAGCCACGGUCCAGACUCCUACGGGAGGCAGCAGUGGGGAAUUUUGGACAAUGGACGCAAGUCUGAUCCAGCCAUUCCGCGUGCAGGAUGAAGGCCCUCGGGUUGUAAACUGCUUUUGUACGGAACGAAAAGGUCUCUCUUAAUACGGGGGGCUCAUGACGGUACCGUAAGAAUAAGCACCGGCUAACUACGAGCCAGCCGCCGCCGUAA
Molecule: ribosomal RNA, 496 nt
Filed under: uncultured bacterium
Lineage: Bacteria
Description: partial 16S ribosomal RNA
Rfam family: Bacterial small subunit ribosomal RNA
Source: RNAcentral